UCAAUUUAAAUUUAACUUCUGCUUAUGUGCAACAUCUGUAAAAGAGAACAAUAAUGAUAUUUAAUGGAUAGUAAUUAGAGAUUUAUUGUGAUUCAAAUGCUACUCUUCUAUCGUAGGAGAGUUCAAGGUGAUCUCAAACUCUAACACUAUCUUCUUCCUAAAAUGUAUUCUCUUCAUGUCAGGAGUCUUUCUCUCCUUAUCCAAUAUGCAACCUUUUUUAUCAGAUCAUGAGAUAUUGCUACUUUAUUUGUUAGAUUAAUCUCCUUCAUGUGCAUCUCAUGUACAGGUUGAUCAUGACUGUGCUUCACAAGAUGGACCUGGUCCAUAUUUGUGUUCUUUUGUCAACCUUCAAAACUUCACAUGUUCUUGGGCCGGCAAAUUCCUCCUUUUUGACGAUGACAAGCUCUGUGCUUUUUACUUACUUGAAUCCUCUAAGAACUCAGAUUAACCAUCAAUACAAAGAUUAGAAAUUUCACUUAUCAUCAAGGACUAAGUUAAUUAGGUUAUAAAUAUCACUUAUUCAGAAUAUGUAAAACGUAGUAUUUCUUCCACCUUUUGGCAUCAUCGAAAAGUUUCAUGCAAAGUAUGAUUCCCAUAUUUUAAUAAGUCCUCAUGGCUACUGGGCCAACUGCAAAUGUAAUCAUGGUUUAAUCAUCAAUAAUCAGACAAACAUAUGUAAACUAUAAACUAUCAAGGAAAGAUUACAUUGAAAAAUAGCAAAAACAGUAGAUAUCAUUUAUAGAAGAUAUGUUUCUACCACAAUCCACAACCAGAAACCAAAAAACAUUUAAAAUAUGAGCAAAAAAAAGAUAGAAAAAUCCCAAAUCCGGGUCACUGAAUGUACUAGACAGGUUCGGGAGACAAAGGCUAGAAUUCCUAAGAUUUAGGUAAGCUAGAGGGUUGGUUUUGGGCUUUGAGAAGAUUCAGCAUAUUGUGAAGAAUUCUGUCAUUCUUCUCCUUUUCCUUGGUAAGCUCAGUUCUGAGAGCACUCCUCUCAGAUUCAACCUCUACAACACGAGCCUUGAGCCUAGCUAUCUCAGCAUCCUUGGCUUCACAUUCUUGAACAAGAGCCCUGACUUUACUGUUGAUAGGAUUCUUCUUGGAUGAACCAGGUUCAUUUGGGAUGCCAAUAACUAAAUACGCACAACGAAUCGGAGUAUUAAUGCCAAAGUGAUCCUAGCUUGAGGUCAUUUCCAAUUUCUUCAGAAACACAAUGCACCUAUCUAGAAUUGUAGUCAAAAUAAAGCCGGUAGUAUAAGCCUUGGAGACAUUGAUGACCUUGUCUAGCAACUUGAUGAAGAAUGCAAGCUAAUUUUUCCUUCCACUUUCAAGACACUCCACAAGAACUACGUCCAUAUAAUUUACAGUAUGCCUUCUCUCUUGCCUGGGAAAUAGGCACUUGUUGACAAAUUCAAACAAGACUUAGUGUUGUGGCCUAGUUUCACUUAUCAGAACAGCCCUAGCCUCAUUCACAUCUUCAGCAUCACAGAACCUCCAGGUAAUUUCUAGGGUAGUAGGAAGGGGGGUCCAGACAAGGCCACCUUUGACUUGUAUAGUCAUCAAACCCUUCAAAGGGUAUGUCAAGGAUCUCUCCCAGUUUUUUCUGCAUCAAAGGUCACUUGAACUCCUUAACCUCUGUAUUUUCCAUGAACUCAAUGAUCUUAUUCCUAGUUAGCCUUCCAUCCAUAUGAAGGACCAUAUCGUUCCACCCCUGAGCAGCUAAGGCAUCCACCAGUCUUAUCAUUCCUAGUUCCGCCAAGUCUUUCAGCAAUCUACCCUUCAAAAUUUUUCUUUUGCCAAACAUGGCAAGCUUUUCUUGUUCACCAUCAGACUUAUCAUCUUCUUCUUCUUCACUCUAUUCCUUAUCUUCAAAAAUUCUUACUUGUUUACUUUUCGCCGAAGACCUUGUCCUAUUGGCUAAUGAUGGUUCAAUAGCUUGAUACAUAGAGGAAGAUUUCUUUGAAUAAGUCUUGGGCCUUUUGGGCUUGGGGUUCUAACCUCCAAUGUUUGAACUUCCUGCUGAUGGACAUGUUCUAUCUCCUCAACUUCCAAAGCCUUUGAAGACUCUACAACCUUCCAUUUUCCUUUAGCCAUCCUUUUCUUCUUAUUCUCAACUAGAGCCUUUUGUAGAUCACUCUCACUCUGCUUCACCCUGCUUCUUGUGGCUCUAAGGAAGUUUUCGUAGUUGUUAGGGAUGAAGCCUUUCUUUUCUUAGCGGGUUUAGGAGAACUGGGGGCUUUUGGUGUGGGAGUUCUUCUUCUUUUUGGAUCAUAACUAGCCCCAACCUUUUUCAACAGAUCUGCUAGGGUUUGUUCAGUUGAUGAACAAUGUUCAUCUCCUUGUGCGUUAGAUUAACUAACCCUUCAGCAGCUUCACCAGAACCACUUUCCCCUGACUUAUUUCAACUCUCUUCUAUAUUUUCUUGUUCAACCCCACAGAUAGGAGGUGUAGAGAAAUCAGCAUUGGGUGAAUGAUCAACCAUUCUUUUCCAAUUUCCCCUUUCUUCACCACAUGCACCUGCUCUUCUAUUUUUUUCAGAUUUCUUUUUACCUCCACUCCUUCGUAACGCAGGUAAUUCUAUAUCCCUAAUUGUCCAACCAAAACAAAUCUUGUUUCUAGAUUUUCAGUCAAAGAAGAACUUACCUUAGAAGGUGAUUCUUGAGUCUUUUCAGAGUCAGAAGACCCAGGUCCUUCCCCCUCACUAGAAGAUUUGCAUGACUCAGAAUCAGAGUAGGAGUUAGAGUCUUGGACCUGACUUUCCGUUAAUUUCUCAUUUAAUUUCUUUGAGAGAUCCCCAGAUGCUAUUGUUUUCCAAGCAAUCAUUUUUACCCUUCUCAGCCUAGGUUUGGGAGAUGUACUAGGUGGAGGAGGGAUAGAUGAAUUAAAAGGAGUGGGUGGUGGAGGAGAUCCGGGAUUUUCUUGCGGGUUUUUCAUGAUCAAUUGUUUCUUUAGAGAACUGGUGAUUUAGAAUUGUGGAGAAGAAAGCAAGUGAAAAUGAAGGGGUUUUUUGACGGUUUAGAAUUAUUAAGAGGGCAGGAGGUAAUGAUGUGUAUUUAAAGAGAAAUACAUAUUUAAUGUAUAAUAGUAGCUUUAGCAGUGAUCAAUUAUAAGUCUAAUCAACCUAAAUUUUUUAGGUUUGAACGAAUGGUUAGGCUUCCCUAGAUUUUUGGCAAUUUUUUUGGUUUAGAGUUCUAAGGCUGACGAAACUUGUUCAAAACUAACGGAUAGAAUCUUCUACGGAGUUAAAUAAUUGUAGGACUUCUGCUCAUGAUUUUAAAUAUUUAUAUUUCUAAUUGUGCAGAAUAUAGAAAACAUACCUUAGCAUUCAGAUGAACUCAUAUUGAUGAACUAGGUUAUUCAUUUAGAAUUUUCUUGACCAUGUACCAUAACAGAGAAAUUUUUUAAGAGAUCAGUGAGUCAUAUUAACACAUGUCAUAGGAGUAUACUAAUUAGUAUAAAGCUGAGUAAAAAUUAAUCUAGAUAUUUAUACAAGUUCAUAUUUCCUUGCAAUAUUUUUUUUAAAUUUUUUUUCAUUGUGCAUUCUGAAUUGGUCCUUAGGUGAUCUUAAUCAUCCCUAAUUCCAACCCGUUCCUCUCAAAGUUUUCUCUACUAAGUGCCUUAGUGAAGUUGUCAGCAAUUUGUUUAUCAGUAGUGCAGAAUUCUAUAGAGAUCAAUCCAUUCUCAUAGUUAUCUCUUAAGAAGUGGUGUCUGACAUCUAUGUACUUAGUCCUCUUAUGAUGAAUAGGGUUCUUUGUCAUACUUAUAGCACUAGUGUUAUCAUAGAAGAUAGGAAUGCAAUAAACAUAAAUUCCAAAAUCUAUCAACAUUCGUUUGAUCCAUAGCAAUUGAGCACAAGAAGAGGCAGAAACAAUAUAUUCAAUCUCAACAGUGGAUAUGGCCACUGAAUUAUACUUUUAGUGGCUCAUGAUACAAGACAUGAACCAAGAAAAUGAGCCAUACCUGAGGUGCUCUUUCUAUUCGCAAGGAAACCUACAUAAUCACCAUCAGCAUACCCUACUAGAUUGAAAUUACUACCUUUAGGGUACCAAAGAUAUAGAUUAGUAGUGCCUUUCAAAUUUCUCAGUGUCCUUUUGACAACAAUCAAGUGAGAUUCCUUUGGGUUAGCUUGAAAGCGAGCACAAAUCCCUGCACUGAAAACCGUGUCAGGUUUGCUGUCACACCUUCUUUUUCCUACACCCCAAAAGGAAGUAUAAGGGAGUUUUUUCCAACUUAAAGUGACAAUAAAAAUGAUCAUUUUAUUAAAAAAAUCAUAGUACCCACUUGGGAUAAGUUUAUAGUUUCCCAAGUCAACGGUUCAAAUCCCGAAUUGAGGAAAAGAAUGACUCUGUUUUACAGUCCGCGAAUGCAGAAUCUGGAUAAUGAAUUCUACUAACCCAAGAGAAUGUAUUAGACAUUCUGUAGUUCUCGCACGGUCUCUCAACUAUUAUUAUUGGCUUAUUAUCUUGAUUAGUACAUGUUUUAGCCUAUGGUGCAAAUUUAAACUCUAUAAUCUCUUUUAUUUAUAUUUUUUAGGAAGAUUUCAAUGUUAUUAAAAACAAAUCUUGAACCCCUCACAUAAAUGCACCGGCGGUCCUCAACAUAAUUUAUCUAACGCUAUUAAGAUUUGGAUUUGGGUAACAUAAAUGCACACCCGAGUUUAGGAAGGUAAUUUAAAUUACGCGCUUAAAGCAACUACGCAUUUUUAAAUUUGCGAGGGCCAUGGAAUUCAACGAAAUAACACGCCUCUAUUUAAAAGGAUUAAAAUAUUAAUCCAAGCGAUGACCAUGCAUUCAAAGAUUUUAUUUGGCACGGCAUGCUCAGUUCCAAUUUUAAAGGGAAGAGCUUAAACUAAAAUUUGAAGACCAUAAAAAUGUAUUACUUAAUACGGCAGCCCUCCAAUAUACCUUUUAAAAAAACCAACUAAUUAAUUAAGAAACAAUUUAAGGGAAUUAUAAUCAACCUAAACUCGAAUCAACCAUACAAAGCUUAACCCGUUAGAACCCUAAAGUGGUGAACCUGACUCCAUUGAUUAAUUUAAACUACUACUUGCUAAAAGGGAAAAAGAUAUUAGAAAUGAAACCUGAUACUACACUACAACUAACCGUAUUGGUGCCACUUAAAUCAACCCAAUCAGAAUUCUAAUUAAAGCAAAGAAAACAAGAGGAGACUACCCUAUUCAUUUGAAUAACCCAUAACAAAUAAAUGAAAAAACGAGUAGUAACAAAAUGAAACCAAAAUUGAGGAAACAAGAAAAACAAAGCUAAAGAUGAAACGGACAUACCAUCAAAAGGGAGAACAUGUACUGUCUAUUUUAUACCAAAAACAUACGAACGAAUUUAUGAACAGCGUUGCUUGACGAGUUUGCCGUUAUUUGGUCUUGCAUGAGGUCGAUGAGCUUCGAAAUGAGUCGAAAUUGAUGCUAAUCAUUUGCUCUCAUGGAGAACCAUCGAUUGGCAUAAGCUUCGACCCAUUAACGGCCUAGACACUCCUUGAAAAUUUAAUAAAGGGGGAAAAACCUGAGCUUCGAAUUUGGUAUCGGAUUCAAGAUUUGGAGCCAAGGGUGGGUAUUUUGGGGAAGUUCGUGUUAUAUUCAUGCUCCAUAGGGUGUGGGGUUGUAGAGGAGGAGUUUAGGUUUGAAUGGGUGGUCCAAAGUUUGAUGGUCCAAAAUUGGAUAGAAGAUUUGACGAGUUUCAUAAUGAUUCGAAGGGAACCAAUGACGGAUUCUUUAUGAGGGGGAAAAGGGGGUGUUAUGGUGUGAAGAUGGGUGCAGUUGGAAGUGGCGCCACCAGGCUCGAGGUGGAGGAAAUGGAGACGGCGCUUUAGGAUUUUUUCUAGUCUCUGAAGAAGAGUGGGUUUGAGAAAGAUGAUGAGAGAGUGG
RNAcentral lists this long non-coding RNA (5878 nucleotides) under Nicotiana benthamiana. Its description in RNAcentral is "long non-coding RNA (NBEN_LNC004363)". Lineage: Eukaryota; Viridiplantae; Streptophyta; Magnoliopsida; Solanales; Solanaceae. The record is from RNAcentral.